This 214-nucleotide ribosomal RNA is filed under the name uncultured bacterium. RNAcentral describes it as "partial 16S ribosomal RNA". It matches the Rfam family "Bacterial small subunit ribosomal RNA", at positions 125 to 334 of the family's 1533-position model. The record is from RNAcentral.
CCUUCCGUUGAAUGGGGAUAACUAGCCGAAAGGUUAGCUAAUACCGCAUACGAUCUUUUGAAGGCAUCUUUAAAAAGAUGAAAGGAGCAAUCCGUUCAACGACGGGACCGCGUCCCAUUAGCUAGAUGGGUGGGGGUAAUGGCCUACCCAUGGCAACGAUGGGUAGCUGGUUUGAGAGAGCGACCAGCCACACUGGGACUGAGAGACGGCCCAG